GCUUUUAAAGGAUAACAGCAUAUCCGUUGGUCUUAGGAACCAAAGACUCUUGGCGCAAAUCCAAGUAAAAGCU
This is a non-coding RNA of Erpetoichthys calabaricus (reedfish), 73 nucleotides long. The record is from the annotation of a RefSeq genome assembly. NCBI's taxonomy places the organism in Eukaryota, Metazoa, Chordata, Cladistia, Polypteriformes, Polypteridae.